RNAcentral lists this ribosomal RNA (460 nucleotides) under uncultured bacterium. Its description in RNAcentral is "partial 16S ribosomal RNA". It matches the Rfam family "Bacterial small subunit ribosomal RNA", at positions 338 to 795 of the family's 1533-position model. The record is from RNAcentral.
CCUACGUGUGGCUGCAGUGAGGAAUAUUGGUCAAUGGGCUUACGCCUGAACCAGCCAAGUCGCGUGAGGGAAGACUGCCCUAUGGGUUGUAAACCUCUUUUGUCAGGUAGCAACGCCGGCUACGUGUAGCCGGACUGAGAGUACCUGAAGAAAAAGCAUCGGCUAACUCCGUGCCAGCAGCCGCGGUAAUACGGAGGAUGCGAGCGGUAUCCGGAUUUAAUGGGUUUAAAGGGUGCGUAGGCGGAAUGCCAAGUCAGCGGUAAAAUCGCGGGGCUCAACCUCGCGCCGCCGUUGAACCUGGCGUUCUUGAGUGGGCGAGAAGUAUGCGGAAUGCGUGGUGUAGCGGGGAAAUGCAUAGAUAUCACGCAGAACUCCGAUUGCGAAGGCAGCAUACCGGCGCCCAACUGACACUGAGGCUCGAAAGUGUGGGUAUCAAACAGGAUUAGAUACCCUAGUAGUC